Molecule: ribosomal RNA, 518 nt
Filed under: uncultured bacterium
Lineage: Bacteria
Description: bacterial SSU rRNA
Rfam family: Bacterial small subunit ribosomal RNA
Source: RNAcentral
ACGAACGGCUGGCGGCGUGCCUAAUACAUGCAAGUCGAACGGUCUUUCUAUGGAAGCUUGCUUCCACUGAGAAGAUAGUGGCGAACGGGUGAGUAACACGUGGGUAACCUGCCCAUAAGAGGGGGGAUAACAUCCGGAAACGGGUGCUAAUACCGCAUAGUUUUCUUGAUCGCAUGAUUGAGAAAGGAAAGACGGCCUUUGUGCUGUCGCUUAUGGAUGGACCCGCGGCGUAUUAGUUAGUUGGUGAGGUAACGGCUCACCAAGACGAUGAUACGUAGCCGACCUGAGAGGGUGAUCGGCCACAUUGGGACUGAGACACGGCCCAAACUCCUACGGGAGGCAGCAGUAGGGAAUCUUCCGCAAUGGACGAAAGUCUGACGGAGCAACGCCGCGUGAGUGAAAGAAGGUUUUCGGAUCGUAAAACUCUGUUGUCAGAGAAGAACAAGUUGGAGAGUAACUGCUCCAGCCUUGACGGUAUCUGACCAGAAAGCCACGGCUAACUACGUGCCAGCCGCCGC